This 343-nucleotide ribosomal RNA is filed under the name uncultured soil bacterium. Its description in RNAcentral is "bacterial SSU rRNA". It matches the Rfam family "Bacterial small subunit ribosomal RNA", at positions 26 to 380 of the family's 1533-position model. The record is from RNAcentral.
AGGACGAACGCUGGCGGCGUGCUUAACACAUGCAAGUCACGGGGGCCCGCAAGGGCAACCGGCGAACGGGUGCGUAACACGUGAGCAACCUACCGAGAUGUGGGGGAUAGCCGGCCCAACGGCCGGGUAAUACCGCAUACGCUCUUUCCACGGCAUUGUGGAUUGAGGAAACCUCCGGGGCAUUUCGAGGGGCUCGCGGCCUAUCAGCUGGUUGGUGCGGUCACGGCGCACCAAGGCGACGACGGGUAGCUGGUCUGAGAGGAUGGCCAGCCACAUUGGGACUGAGAAACGGCCCAGACUCCUACGGGAGGCAGCAGUGGGGAAUCUUGCGCAAUGGCCGAAA